Molecule: unclassified non-coding RNA, 207 nt
Filed under: Hevea brasiliensis (rubber tree)
Lineage: Eukaryota; Viridiplantae; Streptophyta; Magnoliopsida; Malpighiales; Euphorbiaceae
Source: RNAcentral
GAGAUAAUAUGUAAUCAUCAUUGGAUUUUACAUGAUAAAAAUGUUAUUUCCUCCUCACCAUAGCAACUGCUAUAUCCUAAGAUAAAAACAUAUACAUCAAAGUGGUUUAAAUUUCAACAGCCUUCCUAAGCCAUUUAUAAAUAGAGCCAAAGUUGUUUCUUUGAGAAAUUAAAAGGGCCCUAAUCAUACCACAUGGCUAGGUAUUCU